RNAcentral lists this long non-coding RNA (280 nucleotides) under Gossypium barbadense (sea-island cotton). RNAcentral's name for it is "long non-coding RNA (GBAR_LNC021961)". Lineage: Eukaryota; Viridiplantae; Streptophyta; Magnoliopsida; Malvales; Malvaceae. The record is from RNAcentral.
AAAACAUGGUCCUCCCUUCGUUUAAAAGUUCGAUCGCGCGAAUUUGAUCGGCUUAUAAAGGCUUCGUUCAACUUCUUGUAAUUAUCGGCAAUGUAUCUCUCUUGAGUUGUAAGUUUUGUAUCAAGAUACUCCCUUUGCUCUUGUAUCAUCUGGGUCAUGCGAUGUUCGACUUGAGUUUGCAACUUUUUCAUCUCUUUUUGUAACAACUCGACCAAAGGAUCGUUAUCUCUUUUUUGCUCAUCCUCUUCAUUUUUACUAGUUUGGGAUCUAGUGAUCGGCA